RNAcentral lists this ribosomal RNA (429 nucleotides) under Verrucomicrobiota bacterium. RNAcentral describes it as "Verrucomicrobia bacterium partial 16S ribosomal RNA". It matches the Rfam family "Bacterial small subunit ribosomal RNA", at positions 355 to 776 of the family's 1533-position model. The record is from RNAcentral. Lineage: Bacteria; Pseudomonadati; Verrucomicrobiota.
UAGGGAAUCUUCCGCAAUGGACGAAAGUCUGACGGAGCAACGCCGCGUGAGUGAAGAAGGAUUUCGGUUCGUAAAACUCUGUUGUUAGGGAAGAAAAAAUGUAUAGUAACUAUAUACAAAAGAGACGGUACCUAACCAGAAAGCCACGGCUAACUACGUGCCAGCAGCCGCGGUAAUACGUAGGUGGCAAGCGUUGUCCGGAAUUAUUGGGCGUAAAGCGCGCGCAGGUGGUUUAGAAAGUCUGAUGUGAAAGCCCACGGCUCAACCGUGGAGGGUCAUUGGAAACUAAUAAACUUGAGUGCAGGAGAGAAAAGUGGAAUUCCUAGUGUAGCGGUGAAAUGCGUAGAGAUUAGGAGGAACAACGGUGGCGAAAGCGGCUUUUUGGCCUGCAACUGACACUGAGGCGCGAAAGCGUGGGGAGCAAACAGG